UAAACCCUAAAGUUUGCACGUCUAACCCGGGAAGUUUUAACCUUGCUCCUUGGGUGACGAGUGGGGGACGGGUGAGUAAUGUCUGGGAAACUGCCCGAUGGAGGGGGAUAACUACUGGAAACGGUAGCUAAUACCGCAUAACGUCGCAAGACCAAAGAGGGGGACCUUCGGGCCUCUUGCCAUCGGAUGUGCCCAGAUGGGAUUAGCUAGUAGGUGGGGUAACGGCUCACCUAGGCGACGAUCCCUAGCUGGUCUGAGAGGAUGACCAGCCACACUGGAACUGAGACACGGUCCAGACUCCUACGGGAGGCAGCAGUGGGGAAUAUUGCACAAUGGGCGCAAGCCUGAUGCAGCCAUGCCGCGUGGAUGAAGAAGGCCUUCGGGUUGUAAAGUACUUUCAGCGAGGAGGAAGGUGUUGUGGUUAAUAACCGCAGCAAUUGACGUUACUCGCAGAAGAAGCACCGGCUAACUCCGUGCCAGCAGCCGCGGUAAUACGGAGGGUGCAAGCGUUAAUCGGAAUUACUGGGGCGUAAAGCGCACGCAGGCGGUCUGUCAAGUCGGAUGUGAAAUCCCCGGGCUCAACCUGGGAACUGCAUCCGAAACUGGCAGGCUAGAGUCUUGUAGAGGGGGGGUAGAAUUCCCGGUGUAGCGGGUGAAAUGCGUAAAGAUCUGGAGGAAUACCGGUGGGGAAGGCGGCCCCUGGGACAAAAACUGACGCUCAAAUGCGGAG
RNAcentral lists this ribosomal RNA (730 nucleotides) under Citrobacter freundii. RNAcentral describes it as "bacterial SSU rRNA". It matches the Rfam family "Bacterial small subunit ribosomal RNA", at positions 43 to 758 of the family's 1533-position model. The record is from RNAcentral. Lineage: Bacteria; Pseudomonadati; Pseudomonadota; Gammaproteobacteria; Enterobacterales; Enterobacteriaceae.